UCCGGUUUGUCACCGGCAGUCUCAUUAGAGUGCUCUUUCGUAGCAACUAAUGACAAGGGUUGCGCUCGUUGCGGGACUUAACCCAACAUCUCACGACACGAGCUGACGACAGCCAUGCAGCACCUGUGUCCAGGUUCCCUUUCGGGCACCCCCCCAUCUCUGGGGGGUUCCUGGCAUGUCAAGGGUAGGUAAGGUUUUUCGCGUUGCAUCGAAUUAAUCCACAUAAUCCACCGCUUGUGCAGGCCCCCGUCAAUUUCUUUGAGUUUUAAUCUUGCGACCGUACUCCCCAGGCGGCACGUUUAACGCGUUAGCUUCGCCACGGACGGGGUCGAAUCCGCCCACAGCAAACGUGCACCGUUUACGGCUAGGACUAC
RNAcentral lists this unclassified non-coding RNA (374 nucleotides) under uncultured bacterium. RNAcentral's name for it is "contains 16S-23S intergenic spacer region". The record is from RNAcentral.